CUCUUUGCUGCAAUUUCAGUAUUGUGAUCGCAAAAACGAGUAGAGUCCUGCGGCCAGGUAUUACCCGUUAGUGUCGGUCACAAAAUGAAACUGCAGCAC
This 99-nucleotide microRNA precursor is filed under the name Drosophila guanche. Lineage: Eukaryota; Metazoa; Arthropoda; Insecta; Diptera; Drosophilidae. The record is from RNAcentral.